CUCAGGUGGACGGAUGUUGAUCGGACAGACUGAGAGAGGAGGUGUGGAGGUGAAGACUGAGAGCUCAGAGCUGUUGUACCUGCAUCAACUAACAGAUGCUGAUCAACCAACAUGAAGACUGAGCUGCUGUACCUGCAUCGCCUCACUAACAGAGGAACAACUCAGAGACUGAGUUGAGACUGAGAGAGGACAUGUGGAGGUGAAGACUGAGAGCUCAGAGCUGCUGUACCUGCAGCAACAAACAGAACCUUUCUGAUCACAUCAGAUCACAGUUUGAUUUAAAGUCAGCUUCUUCAUCACUUUGAAGAGGAAAUCUCAACACUUCAGGAGAACCAGGAGACCUGAAGAUGGCUGCAAACCUGAUAAGACGCGAUAGCAUGGAAUUACCUCCUCAUCUGUCUGAAUUAAUGAACAAAUGUAAAAAACAUGCAGCUUCAUUCAUCAAAGAGUUUGAUAGCAAUGAACACAGAAUGAGAGAGAUUGUUAGAGAGUUUAGGGAGAUUGCAGCCAAAGUCAGAAAGAUGCAGGAGAGAACAGAUAAAAUCAGAAGAACAGCUCUUGGCAUGCCAUUGGGCUUACUUGCAGGUGGAGCAGCAGUAGCAGCAGCAGGAACAGAAGCAGCAGGAGCAGCAGCAGCAGUAAUAGCAACAGUAGGAACAAUAGGAGCCGGAAUAGCAGCAGGAUCAGCCAUUUUAGUUGCUGGUGCAAAUGUAACAAAAGGGAUAUCAGAGAGUGGAAGUGUACAUAAAGUAAAACAGCUGUGGAAAGACUUCAUGGAGAUUAUUGAACCGCUGAAGAAUGACCUGGAAGAAAUAAAGACAACAUGUAAGAAGUUGGAGCAAAGAUCAGCUGAAGAAACAAAGAAGACGUGUGAGAAGUUGGAGCAAAGAUCACCUGAAGAAAUAAAGAGGACGUGUGAGAAGUUGGAGCAAAAAUCUGUUCAACUUCAGGCUGAAAAGACUCUGACAGACAUGAAGGAGUUUCAGACUCUUACAGUAGUGUCUAUCCUGGGAAGAGGUGAGGGAGUAAUGUCUGCUAUGUGGAGUGUCUUCACACUCACUGCAACCCCUGAAGAGGACAGAAAGUUAACAGACUCCAUCACCCAGUCAGCUGAUUACUGUCAGAAAGUCGUUGAUGACUUGGAGAAGAUGAAGGAAGAACUCAAAGACUUCACAGAACAGUGAACACUUCCACUGCUUUUCUGAUGAUGUCCAGAUCUACAUCUCUACCACAUCCAUCACCACAGCUACAUCCUCCACCCUGACCAACUGCCUCAUCAAUAUUUAAACUUGGAUGCAUACCAACUUCCUCCAAAUCAACUACAAUAUAUCCGACUUAAUGAUCAUCGGCCCGAAUCCCUCACAAAGAACACCCAUAACUUUGGUCACAUUGUCAACCACUCCACCCUGUCUCCAUCCCCACACAUCCAUAACCUGGGAGUCCUCUUCGACAGAAACCUCACUUUUGAAAACCACAUCAACCAAAUAACCAGAACUGCCUUCUUUCACCUCAAAAACAUCUCUCUGCCCAUCACUCACCUUCUCUGCUGCCGGAACUUUGAUUCACGCCUUCAUCACUUCCAGAAUUGACUACUGCAACAGCAUCCUCAAUGGUUUACCUCCAAAAGCCUUAAAUAAACUCCAAUACAUCCCAAACUCUGCUUCUAGUCUCCUCACACACACCUGUUCCUGUGAUCACAUCACUCCUGUCCUUCAGAACCUCCACUGGCUCCCUGUUUGCCAACGCAGUUUAAAGUCCUCCUUCUCACCCACAAAGCUCUCCAUAACCAGGCUCCAUCCUACCUCACAGACCUGCUUCUCUGACACAACCCCCCACCCCACACCCGUAACUUCUGCUCUUGUGACGCAAACCUCCUCUCCCCACCACUCAGGACCAAACGCCAUACUUGGGGUGACAGAGCUUUCACCAUUGCAUCCCCCUCCCUUUGGAACUCCCUACCCAUACACAUCUACAGCCCCCUCCCUCUGGAACUCCCUACCCUUGAGGGAUGGGUUAAAUGCAGAGAAUGAAUUUCGCUACAUGUACGUGUAUGUGACAAAUAAAGUACCUUUACCUUUACCUUUACCAUACACAUCCGUGACUGUACUGACCUGAACACUCAUCAUAACACACCUGUUCAGAUUAGCUGUCUACAUACAAUAGUCUGACAUUUCUCACACUUAUAGUUACUGCUUUUAUUGUUUUUAAUUGAUUAUAAAAUGCUUGCUUUAUGUGUUGGUUUUAUUGCUUAUCUGUUUUAAAAAAAAAAUUUUUACAGUAAAGUGUCUUUGAGUACCAUGAAAAGCGCUAUAUAAAUACAAUGUAUUAUUAUGAUUAUUAGAUGAUCCUCUGAUCCUGUUUAUCUGAAGAAACUCCUCCAUGUUGGAAUAUGAUAUUAACUUUCUCCGAACAUGCUGCUGCUUAUAAUUCUGUCUGAAACAUUAUAAUGUUUCUGUCAGAUCCAGAGCAGAAAAAACAGUGUGAUGAACUGUGAAACAUAAAGUGAUGCCAACUGAGAAUAGAUGAGCCGUGUAGUAACGUAGCAGCACCACAAGAUGGCAGCAGCUGCAUCUGAUGCACCGGGUGGGAACCCUGCACGUUUCACAAUAAAAGCCUAGAUAGAAACUAAAGGAUUCUGUUCAGAGGGCUUUUAAUUUGAAACAGGAAGUGUUGAGUUCUUCAAAAAGUGACAAACCCCCCCCCCAAAAAAAAACGACAUUAAAAGUGACAAAAACGCCCAAAAAAGUGUGGCUUCAGAUGGACACUGGCAGGUAGAUGCAUGUUAAGGUUUUAUUUUUGAGUAGAAAGUAGUAGUUAUACAAUACACACUCAGAAACAGAAGUACUGUUGGGUUCCUAAGUUCAGUAAUUGUCUCAGGAAGACAGCUGUGUCUCUUAUUUUCAUUUAGUUCACUCAAAUCAGUCCAACGGUCCAGUUCUGGUCUCUUAAGGGAACAUGUUAAAAAGUGAACCUGUGAGAACAGAAAUGUUCUGGUUUCUGAGUGUGUAGAAACAAACAGGUUUAAGAAAUAACUAGUGUUGUUAUUGGAAACACUGGACAUGUUGGUCAUUUACUACACGGCUCUCAAACUAACAGAGUAUGAGACCAUGGUGGACUUCUAUGAAAGGUAAAGGGGUCACUGCACUUUUACAUGAAUAUAAUAUUCUGGUUCAUGCUCUUAUUCGGAAAAACACAAUCUACGUCUAAGCCACACGUGUUAAACUCGAGGCCCGUGGGCCGAACCCGGCCCCUUGCAGAUUUUGAUCCGGCCCGUAUAUCAACUUAGGUUCACAAUAAAUUUUGGCUUGUGCGCCACAUCAAAAAGAUGGGAAAGUGUAUUUCUUAAUUUACUAACUUCUAUGAGGGCUAAGGAACUGCUUUUGCUGACUUUUGUUGGGCUUAAUGUCGAGAACAAUACGACAAAGGUGUCCAAAAAAGGAACAAAAAUGAUGAAAAAAGCACUAAAAACGUCGGAAAAAAAUAAACAAAAAAAACAUGUCAGAGAAAGUUACAAAAAUGUUGAAAAAUGUGACAUACAGUUAGAAGAUAUUUUACUCUUUCGAUGAAAUAAAAGCAUCUCAUUAAAUUCUCCAUGUCUGGCCCGUUGAUGUGAUUCUCUUCUUCUAGUGUGGCCAUUAGUGAAGUUGAGUUUAACGCCUUUUUUGUCGCCUUUUUGUCGCCUUUUCUUAAAAUCACCUGGAUCUGCUCUAAGCUGUUUCCAUGGCUAAUGAAAGAGAAUAUUCCUCUAAUAUCCCUGUUGUGCAAAUGUGCAAAACAGGAUGUUUUUAAAGCAAGGUUGUAAGCAUGAAGUGAACAUUGACAAAUAUUUGAAUUGUAAUGUUUCUGUAGCCAAUCAGAGGUCUUCAUUACAUCAGGAUAUGAAAGGAUGUUAACAUGUUUUAGUUAUUGUUAAUAAAGCUUAAUGAGACCAUCAGCUGUGAUUCUGAUUCUAGUAGUUCUGGAGUCGUGGUUCUUCUUGUGAUCAUAUGUGGCCCUAAAAUGUUUCUGUUGAUGUCUGAAAGAUGGAGGAGUUUGUGAAGGAGAAACUUCUGGAACCUGUCUGAGCUGGUUCCUCCUUUAGAAGGUGUGGAACUCACUUUAGUUUGGUUAAUAACACAUAUAUUCAUGACAUCUUGCAGCUAGUGAUAAAUACACUGCGGCUUGCUUUAUACUACAUGCAGAAUAUUAUAUUCGAGAAAUGACUCAGAGGACUGAAAGAUAAGAGACACACUGAGCACGCUCAGUAGCUGCUUCACCUGGACCGUCUCACACAGCUGACAGACACACAGAGAAACGACUGAGAGGACUUAAAGCUAAGAGACAGACUGAGCACGCUCAGUUGCUGCUUCACCUGCAUCGCCUCACACAGCUGAUAGAGACACAGGCGUUUCCACCAUCACGAGCACACGCGACAGUUUGUCGUUGACAGAUUGAGAUGCUGUGUUCUUCCUGGUGAUAAAGUUAAACUGGUAGUUUGUCAGUUCUUCAGAAGUCUAAGAACCUUUCUGAUCACAUCAGAUCACAGUUUGAUUUAAAGUCAGCUUCUUCAUCACUCUGAAGAGGAGAUCUCUACACUUCAGGAGGACCAGAAGACCUGGAGAUGGACUUGGUUCUAAGAAGACGGAACGGAGACCUCCCUCCUCAUGUUUCUGAGUUAAUGAAUAUAAUUGAAUUCAGUAAGGUGCAGGAGAGAACAGAUGAAGUCAGAAGAGCAAGAUAUGUUGCUAGAUUAGUCGGAGCAAUAGCAGGAGGAGUAGGAGCAGCAGUAGGACUAGUCCUGUUCCUUGCAUCUCCAUUCACUGGGUGGGUUAGUUUAGCAGUAGGGGCGAUAGCUGUAGUAGCAGGAGGAGCUGCAGGAAGAGCUGUAGUAGCAAGAGCAGUAGCAGCAGAACAAGCAGUAGCAGGAGCAGUAGCAGGAGGAGUAGGAGCAAUAGUAGGACUAGGACUCAUGGUCCUUGCAGCUCGGUUCGUUGGGGGGGGUAAUUUAACAGCAGUAGGAGCGUUAGUAGUAGCAGUAGGAGCACUAGCAGGAAUGUUAGCAGUAGGAGGAGGAAGAUGAGCUGUGGCGGUAAAUUCAAUAAAAAAUAUGAAAGAUAACAGAAGUGUAAAUAAAGUAGAAGAACUGGCGAAAGAGUUCAUGAAGAUCAUAGAACGAGUUAAGAACAACCUGGAAGAAAUAAAGAGGACGGAUGAGAAGUUGGAGCAAAGAUCAGCUGGAGAUCAGGAUGAAAACACUCUGACAGAUAUGAAGGAGUAUCAUAGGACUCUUACAGUAGUGGAGGAGUUUCAGAGGAGUCUGUCUAUCCCUGUAAGUAGUGACGGAGUAUUGUCUGCUAUGAAGAAAAUCUUCAGACCUACAGUGACCCCUGAAGAGGACAGAAAGUUAACAGACUCCAUCAUCCAGUCAGCUGAUCUCUGUCAGAAAGUCAUUGAUGACUUGGAGAAGAUGAAGGAAGAACUCAAAGACCUCACAGAACAGUGAACAGACACGCUGCAGUGUGAAGAAAGGGAUUGUUUAAUUAUGUUAUUAUUUCCACUAAAUCUGCAGUUUUUGGACACAUUUUAAAUUGUGGACACAGAUGAUCCUCUGAUCCUGUUUAUCUGAAGAAACUCCUCCGUGUUGAAUAUAUUAUUUAUGAUGCUGCUUAUAAUUCUGUCUGAAACAUGAUUAUUUUUCUGUCAGAUCCAGAGCAGAGAAAACCAGUCUGAUGAACUGUGAAACAUAAAGUGAUGCCAACUAAGAAUAGAUGAGCUGUGUAGUAACGUAGCAGCACCACAAGAUGGCAGCAGCUGCAUCUGAUGCACCGUGGGGGGACCCUGCUCAUGUUUCACAAUAAAAGCCUGGAUAGAACCUCUAAACUCAACACGUUUGUCUAAACCUUCAGGGAAAAGUUAAUCAGCUACACUGCCGUGCUAAACAAAAAGACCAUAACUCAAUUUUGAGAAAAUAAGUUAUUGUCAUUUUUGGAACAUCUGAAAGAUCUGCUUUAUCAUGUGGACAAAUAUCUUGAGUCAAUUUUAUUGUUUUUGGGAGAAAAGUGUCUGUUGUCUUCGCCGUAACUUCAAAAGCUGCAGAGAAGCCAAGGCAGAAUACCGUAACUUCAGUUACGGUUCUUUGUCUUUGUUUCAUGGCGCUCCAGAAUGUUCAAAUUGAGUUAAGGUACUCUGUAAAUGUGCUGCACACGCUGCACACAUACACACACACACACACACACACACAGCAGAGGAAGACGCUGACAUGCAGCACAUGUACCUGAAUGGGAAAGAUAGCGCUACGCUCGUUACUGUAAGUAGGCUACAAUAAAACCUAAACGUAAAUGCGUAUCAAUACCCACUCACCUGUCUACAUGCAGACACAUGUAGGAAGAGAUAUAUUUCUCGUCCACCGCUCUGUUUACACAAACACAGCUCUACUCUACUCUCAAUAGAGAAUUUUGACAAACAAGCUAAAACAAAAGCUGUCGGUUUGUAGUCUAACUAUCUUUAUUUGUCACAAAUCUUGAAAUGUGGACAAAUUCUUGUGAAGUUAACUGCUGGUUAAACUAACCAUCCUCUCAGCGGAGCAUCUAUGGAUGUAUUAUAAGAUCAAAACAAACCAAGGUGGCUACUUAAUAUGCACGUGAAUGACGGCAUCUGUAUGUUCACGUCUUCAUUCUUGCAGUGAGUCUAAAUUAGUGCCUCAUAUCCAAAUGAAGAACAUGCUUUAUAUGCAUUAAAACAUCAAA
Long non-coding RNA from Perca fluviatilis (European perch), 6725 nucleotides. RefSeq lists it as uncharacterized. The transcript has 8 exons. The record is from RefSeq and is a predicted model, not a curated record. NCBI's taxonomy places the organism in Eukaryota, Metazoa, Chordata, Actinopteri, Perciformes, Percidae.